Molecule: ribosomal RNA, 403 nt
Filed under: uncultured bacterium
Lineage: Bacteria
Description: partial 16S ribosomal RNA
Rfam family: Bacterial small subunit ribosomal RNA
Source: RNAcentral
AUUGAACGCUGGCGGCAGGCCUAACACAUGCAAGUCGAGCGAGCGGCGGACGGGUGAGUAAUGUAUGGGGACUGCCCGAUAGAGGGGGAUAACUACUGGAAACGGUAGCUAAUACCGCAUACUAUCGGAUAACCCAUAUGGGAUUAGCUAGUAGGUGAGGUAACGGCUCACCUAGGCGACGAUCCCUAGCUGGUAGGAGAGGAUGAUCAGCCACACUGAGACUGAGACACGGCCCAGACUCCUACGGUGCCAGCAUUGGGGAAUAGUGCACUAUGGGCGCAAGCCUGAUGCAGCCAUGCCGCGUGUAGGAAGAAGGCCCUAGGUGUGUAAAGUACUUUCAGUCGGGAGGCGUUACCGACAGAAGAAGCACCGGCUAACUCCGUGCCAGCAGCCGCGGUAAUAC